Sinocyclocheilus rhinocerous is the source of this 573-nucleotide long non-coding RNA. RefSeq lists it as uncharacterized. The record is from RefSeq and is a predicted model, not a curated record. NCBI's taxonomy places the organism in Eukaryota, Metazoa, Chordata, Actinopteri, Cypriniformes, Cyprinidae. The transcript has 3 exons.
CAGAAAAGUUUUAUGAACUGCAUAUUCAACGGCUUACCGUUAGAUCCACGAAUCCUAAAUACAAUUACAUGCGUAACGCGUCUAAUUUCUCGCGAGGCAUAUCAAGAUACACUUCGUCUGCUGUCAAGUUGCACCUCUGUUUACAUUAAUUUAUUUUCAAGAAACAGAUGUUUGCCCCUGACCAAACAGGGCGUCCAGCGUCGCCUCAUCUGGAUUUAGAAAGAACUGUUUGCGGAUGCUGCGCUGUUUGCAAAGUACACCUAAACUCUUCUGCAGACCCCAGACUUCUGCCUUGCCUGCAUAUAGUUUGUAAUACUUGCCUUACGAAGAUCUGCACAGAUGGAGCCAUCCAAGAUUGUCCAUUAUGUGCACAUUCCUUUUGUUUGUCUGAGGUUACAGAAUGUGCCAUUUUCGAAGACACGUCUAAAAAUAACAAGGUCCCCAAGUGUGCCGGGUGUGAAGAGAGUGAGGUUAGUGGAUGGUGUGUCCAGUGCGAGGAGGCCCUGUGUUUGGACUGUAUGUUUGCUCAUCGUAGGGUAAAAGUGACCCGUGACCAUGAAGUCACACCCAAAA